UUAAGUUCAGCGGGUAUCCCUACCUGAUCCGAGGUCAACCUUUUAUUUGUGGAACUCGUGAUUCCGUUUUCGGAAGGCAAGUCCAUCCUGUGUGUGUGAUCCCAGGGUUGUUACAAGCGAACAGUUGCUCAGCGAAUGCGAGCCGUCUAUACAACGCCAUAAACAUUUGUGGGUUCGUUAUUCACUCACAACAGACUGCC
This 200-nucleotide unclassified non-coding RNA is filed under the name Genea sp. (in: ascomycete fungi). RNAcentral describes it as "Genea sp. (in: Fungi) partial internal transcribed spacer 2". The record is from RNAcentral. Lineage: Eukaryota; Fungi; Ascomycota; Pezizomycetes; Pezizales; Pyronemataceae.